UGGCCUGCAUCAAUAGGAGUAUAGCGUCUAGAUCCAGGGAAGUCAUGCUACCCCUCUAUUCUGCCUUAAUCAGGCCACACUUGUGUCCAAUUCUGGGCACCGCAGUUGAAGGGAGAUGUUGGCAAGCUGGAAAGUGUCCAGAGGAGGGCGACUAAAAUGAUUAAGGGUCUGGAGAACAAGCCCUAUGAGGAGCGGCUUAAAGAGCUGGGCGUGUUUAGCCUGCAGAAGAGAAGGUUGAGAGGAGACAUGAUAGCCAUAUAUAAAUAUGUGAGGGGAGGUCAUAGAGAGGAAGGAGCAAGCUUGUUUUCUGCUGCCCUGGAGACUAGGACAUGGAACAAUGGCUUAAACUUCAGGAAAGGCGAUUCCACCUGAACAUUAGGAAGAACUUCCUCACUGUGAGAACUGUGUUGGUUUAUUUUUGGUGUAAGGGUGAAAUUAUGAAUCAAGUAUUUUUACUGUUGGAAGUUUACAACUGUGUGUACCGGACAUGUUUUCCAGGAACUUAAGUGUUAACAGCAGGCCAGUUUUGAGUGAUAGCCUGCAAGAACCAAUAGGUCGUGACUUCCGGUCUGAGAGGGUGUUCGUCAUUCUAUUGUGGAAUGUGCUGUUAUCGGCAGUGUGUGCUUCGCUGAUCGGCAAGGAGAGAAAUAUAUAGAAGAAAUCCAGAACCACACUGAAGACCUCAUUUACUAAAACAUUCACCCAGAAAUAAAGGAUACUUAAAUAAAAAUGGCUGUGUUGAGGAUCUAAGAAGAAAUGUCCUAAGCAGCUCAGCUUGCACUGUAUUCUGUGAGGUUCCCUGGAGGAACACAGUGAGAAUGGAACAGGUGCUGCUGGUAGACAAAGUAAAGCUCAAGGAACACAUAAAGGAAAUGCAGGAUCAGUGACUGGAAGGAAGAAAGUCAUAUAACUCAAAGCCAAAGUAGAAGAAUGACCCAAAACAGAUCAAAUGAACUAAAAUCGUCAGGUGUUUUCAAACAAUAAUCCAGUUGUGUCCAAAAGACGUCUUGUGCUUCAUAAGAUUGAAAUGGAAAGGCAAUGAAAAUAUCACCUCCAUAACUGAAAGGAGAAACUCAACCAAGACUUCAGUGUAGCAGUUUUGGAAUGAAAGGGACAAAGCCUCCUUGUACAGGUGUACUGGAGUGAUUGCCUCCACUGAUAAGCAUCCAGUCACACUCAAAACAUAAUGAACCCUAUGGUCAGAUACGCCAUUUGCGAACAACAUUCAUCUUUUCUUGAUCGUGUUUUAGUUAUCUGUGAUCACAGAUAAUGGUUUUGAACAUCUCCUGCUACACCUGAAUUAAAUGAAAAGUAGAACUGGAUGUUGUGAACAUACUGAUCUCACUUCACUCUAAAAUGUGGAUGACCUUGCUUUGCAGCUUCAUUUAUGUCAAAAAGCAUGAGACACAGUACAGAACAUUGUAUUGUACAUUAUAAUGUCCUGAUCUGCAUAGAUACCCAGACCAACUUUUCAGUAUCCUUCACUGCAAUAGGUAUCCUUCAUUUUAUUGUCGAAGGCUUUCAUGGCCAGAAUUACUAGGUUACUGUGAGUUUUUCUGGCUGUAUGGCCAUGUUCCAGCAGCAUUCUCCUAAUGUUUCACUUGUAUCUGUGGCUGGCAUCUUCAGAGGUUCUGUUAGCAGUGAAGCAAAUGGGGUGUAUAUAUACCUGUGUAAUGUCAAGGGUGAGAGAAAUAAACUGUCUGUUUGAAGCAAGUGUGAAUGUUGCAAUUAACAAACUUGAAUUAGUCAAUCAGUAUGGGUAUCUGCAUUGAGGUAACCUGGCUUUUGUUGCCUGGAGGCAUCCUCUGUUUGGGAGAUGUUAACUGGCCCUUGACUGCUUGUUAUCCUUCAUUUCCCUCUGUGUUAAACUAUUACAGAAAGCUAUGGUUGAUAGUAACAAAAGCUUCUGACAUGUCCAGAAAAAUAAGGUACAGUAUUGGUCUUCUUGGUUUUUUGCUUUUGUUGUUUUCAAAAACUGGUUAGAAAAAGAUCCCGAUCAUCAUGCCUGUGUUAACAGUCUUAAAAGUUUAAUUUCUGUGUUCUUAUGAUUCCUUAUAGUAUUAGAGAAAACCUAGAACCCUCCAUCCCCAGCUUCUAUCAGUCAAGAGAGACUAUUCUUUAUCUCAGUGGUUCCCAAACUUAUUUGGCCUACCACCCCCUUUCCAGAAAAAAUAUUACUCAGCGCCUUCUGGAAAUUAAUAUUUUAAAAGUUUUAAUAGCAAUUAAACAGAAAGAUAUAUGUAUUAAUGUUUCUACCUUUUUUGUAAAAUAUAGUAAAGAAAGGUGUAAAUUAGAAACAUCCAAGUAUGAAAUUAUGAAACUAUUUUUGAACUCAGAAUAGAAAGGUAAUACAAAAAAAGUUAGUUAUUCACCGCCCCCAAAUGCACCUGUGGCCAUCACCGCCCCCUGGGUCGCUGCAGUGCCCACCAGGGGGCGGUAGCGCCCACUUUAGGAAUCACUGCUUUAUCUCUUUGAAUGUUGUAGCAAGUUGCCCAGGUUGAUUAAUUAUAGUUGUCAGAUUAAGAGAGGUGAAAGUGCACCUAGAAUAUGCCUAACAAAUUUCUGUGGAUGAAAAUUUCUAUGUUUAGGCUUACUGCAUCCCCUAACCUCUGCAGGGAUGGAAGACCUAUUAAAAGGGUCCACCCCAGGAGGCUUAUGGAUCCGGACGGAUUCCUUAUGGCUCUUGGGGAAUUUCCUGCCACCUCAGUAAGUGAUCCUGUCGGUGCCAUGGUCUCUCUCUUUGGAAUAAGGAGAUAACUAGGGCAAUAGACACAAUUGCUCCAGAACGUUCCCUCUCGAAUAGCUGAGUUAAACCAACUCCUUGGUUCAACGAGGAGCUGGAAGCGAUGAAGUGAAAGAAGAGGGAACUAGAGUGCGUGUGGCGCUUAAGGCCGAGCAAGUCAAACCAAACACGGCUGUGUGCCUACCUAAGGGCAUACACUGCAGCAAUAGAUGCCGCAAAGAAAUAUUUCUACAAAGCCAAUACUGUGUCCGCAAGGAACCGUCCGGCAGAACUGUUUCGAGUAGUCAGAGGUAUGUUAAAUCCCGUCUCCCAAGACGGGAUUCCUGACAACUUGGCAGCCCGCGGCGAAGCAUUUGCUCGGUUAUUUGCGGACAAAGUCGCUCUGAUCUGCUCUGGCUUUGACACCAUAUUAACGGCAGUCACUGAGGAUGUAACACGAGCACCUGCUUGUCCCGUUUCAAUUGAUUCUUUUCAAUUGGUUCAGCUCGAGGAUGUGGACAAGGUGCUUGGAGAGGUGAGAGCAACCACAUACAUCCUAGGCCCCUGCCCAUCCUGGCUUGUAAAGGAAGCCAGAGGGGGUUUAGCAGAGUGGGUGAAGGUGGUGGUUAACGCCUCCUUUUGGGAAGGCAGCUUUCCAGCUGGCUUAAACUAAGCCAUCAUAAAACCGCUGUUGAAAAAAACAUCACCCCAUUCAAUUGGUGAACUAUCGACCUGUUUCCAAUCUCCCCUUUCUGGGCAAGGUCAUGGAACGUGUGGUGGCCUCAAAACUCCAGGCAUUCUUGGUAGACACUGAUUUUCUGGACCCGACACAUUCUGGCUUUAGGCCAGGACACGGUGCUGAAACAGCCUUGGUCGCCUUAGUAGAUAAUCUACGCCGGGAACUGUACAGGGGGAGUGUGUCCCUGUUGUUCUGCUGGACCUCUCAGCAGCCUUCAAUACUGUCGACCACGGUAUCCUUCUGAGACACCUUGCGGGAAUGGGCCUUGAAGGUACUGUUCUACAGUGGCUCCGGUCCUUCCUCGAGGGUCGCUCUCGGAAGGUGUUGUUGGGGGACAACUGCUCGACCCCACAGCCUUUGUUCUGUGGGGUCCCGCAGGGUUCAAUAUUGUCCCCCAUGUUGUUUAACAUCUACAUGAAGCCACUGGGAGAGAUCAUCCAGAGUUUUGGGGUACAGUGUCACCUGUAUGCAGAUGAUGUCCCAACUCUGUCAUUCCUUCCCACCUGCUACGAAGGGGGCUGUGCAAAUCCUGAACCGGUGCUUGGUAGCUGUGAUGGUCUGAAUGAGGGUGAACAAAUUGAAAUUGAAUCCAGACAACACAGAGGUACUCCUGGUCAGUUGUAAGGCCGAACAGAGUAUAGGGCUACAGCCUGUGUUGGAAGGGGUUACAUUCCCCCUGAAGACGCAGGUUCGCAAGUUGGGGGUUCUCCUGGAUUCAUCCUUGAGCCUGGAACCCCAGGUCUCGACGGGGGCCAGUGGAGCUUUUGCACAAUUAAAACUUGUGAGCCAGUUGCGCCCGUACCUUGGGAAGUCUGACUUGGCCAUGGCAACCCACGCUCUGGUUACAUCCCAGAUAGAUUACUGCAAUGUGCUCUAUGCGGGGUUGCCUUUGAAGACUGUUAGGAAGCUGGAACUGGUCCAACGGGUCGCAUCCACAUUGCUCACCAGAACUGCAUACAGGGAGCAUACAAUCCCCCUGUUGCACCAGCUCCACUGGCUGCCAGUUUGCUACCGAGCACAAUUCAAAGUGCUGGCUUUAGCCUAUAAAGCCCUAUAUGCUUCUGGCCUAGUCUAUCUGUCCAAACGUGUCUCCUUCUAUGAACCAUCCUGGAGUCUAAAAUCAUCUGGGGAGGCCCUGCUCUCGGUCCUGCCCUCUUCGCAGACGCGAUUGGGGGAAACGAGAUACAGGGCUUUUUCAGUGGUGGCCCCUAUGCUGUGGAAAUCCCUCCCCAGGGAGAUUAGAUCAGCCCCUCCCUCCUGAUCUUCCAAAGAAAGUGAAGACAUGGCUCUUUGACCAAGCCUUUGGAAACCUGGUGCAGUAACAUAUAUGAAGAUAAGGAACUGACCAAUAGAACGGCCUGGACUACGCUCUUGGAUCAUGUGGUUGACUCUGUUGUCAGAGUUAAAUGUUUAAUUGUGUUUUAAUUGUAUUUUAAUGGUUUAUUAUUUAAAUGACUAUUUUUGUACUUGUUUUAAAGGCAUUGAAUUAUUGCCACACUGCGAAGCCGCCUUGAGUCCCUUCUGGGGUGAGAAAGGCGGGGGUAAAAGCAUCGUAAAUAAAUAAAUAAAUAAAAAAUAAGGCACUAAUAAUAUAGGGAGCUGCUUUUCCAUUAUCUUGCCUGAUGGUAAUUUCACACAUCAAAGAACAGAUAGGAAGCUACUGGAUGGACAGGGAAAAUGUGUCCAUAUUGUGCAUAUAGCUAAUAAGAAAGAGAAAAAUUUAUUGAUUACAAAACACUCUUGUAGCUACCCCCCUCCCGAGAUGUUUGCAAUCUUUUAACCAGAAUACUUUCUGAUGAUACACGAGCACUUAGCCAACUAUUUAUAGGAAAUGUAACAACCUCUAAGGUCAAACAUUUCUGCUUGCUGAUUGGUCACUAUUGAUUAUUCUGUACAGAAGACUUUAUUUUUUUAAAGACACAAUUCGUAGUAUUCCCAAAAUGUUUUUACUUUUUUAUCUAUGAACUCUUGGGCCUGUUAGUGUUGUAGAGUCCUGAAUUAGUGGUGUGUUUAAGCUUGUUAUGGGUACUAUGAGUGAGGACUUGGAACAGGCCAUCUCUAAUGUGGACUUUGACUGAUGUGUUAGCUAUGGUGCACAGUCAGUUUUGGCUGACCUGCUUCCCAGUCACUUGUCUCUUAGAAGAGAGAAGCAAAAUGAAGGCAAUUCAACACAUGUCCUUCAGAUGGCAAACAUCACAAAAGAUUUGUGCAAGAAUUUGGCUGUAUGCUCAUCAGUCUUCUUGAGAGACUGUGUGUAAUUGGAUCAAGCAUUGCCACCAAAGCAGCCUUUGUACUAUUGAGUCUAGAGCAGUGUUUCCCAAACUCUGCUCCUCCAAGUAUUUUGAACUUCUCCUCCCAGAAAUCCCAGCUAACUUACCAGCUGAUAGAAAUUGUGGGAGGUGAAGUCCAAAACAUCUGGAGGAACAGAGUUUGAGAAAUACUGGUCUAGAGAAUGCAAUGCUUUCCAGCAGUUUAUCCUGGUGUACCAGCUGCUGGCACUCCCCUUUGGACAUUUCAGUUAAAACAAAAUAUUUUCCAUCUGCUAAUGCAAAAUGUAGGCUUUCCACACACAUCACAUCUUGCCGAUUCUCAAACCAGUUUCAUGAUUACCAAUCCAUUUUGGGUUAUCAUUACCCAAGAAUGUUGGUUAUUCUUUAGAUGCCUAAAGGACAAACACCUUCCAAAUGAGCUUGCCUGAGCUUUGUUAUCAUGAAAGGCUGUCACCUGAGUCUUCAUCAACAUCUCAAGUCAGAAGGACUUGACCAAAGGGCAGGAGAUGAGUAGUUCCUCUAUGGAGACAUCACUGACUAUCAUUUCAACACAAGCAAACAGUUGGCCUGGCCAUUCUAGCAGAAAGAAUAAGUUGGCUAACUAAUGGUAUUUGUGUUCUGCUGUAUGGUUUUAGCUUUUGGUUCUUUAAAUACAGAUAAUUUAUGAUAUUAUAGUACAUUUACCUGGAAGCUAUAGUUAACAUUUUAGAUGGCCAUUUUCGAAAUAAAUAAAAAAACAGCAACGUUUUAUAGUUUUACAAAACACACAUACAUUUGUUAUAAGAACAAAGCAAUGGGAAGGUAUCCUAAUCACUAGUACUCAACUUUAGAUAUAUCCUUGGAUGGAAGGGCAAGGGUUGUACACAGAAUUUAUCAUGGAUCAAAAAACAAAAGACAUUUAUAAACGUCUGUGAAUGGCCAAUCAUAAGAGAGAGCCUGUCAACUUACAAUGCAGAUGGCAUUAAUCUUUGAAAGGUUUGAAAAAUAGAUAUCUUAGUACAAGCUUCUGCUUUUACUGCAACUUAAUUAUUUAAGCACACUGCUUGACAAGGAAAUACUGUGAGCUGUAGCAUGCAAAGUAGUCUGUAACCCUAUGCAUAUCUGCUUUUGGUUCAAGAGGCUCCAAGAGGCACUGAGGCAAACUACAGACAAACAUGGAAAACUGAAGGGCUUUUAUAUAUUGUAAGUCUGAUUAAAGAGGAUGGGAACGUGAUUAAGAAAGCAUUACUUAAUUUGGGUACAUGGGAAAGAAUAGCAAUGCUCUCUAGAAGACAACCAACCAACUGAUCUAGAAAUGCGAAUGCAGUUCUCUUGAAAUGACCUGUUCCUUUCCUCUUCUUAAAGGGACAGCCAUAUAUACUGGGCUGAGAGAGGGAGAUCCUUUCUGUGGAGAAUUUCCUAUAAAUAUUUUCUUAUGGGCAACAAACUGAUAUUUCUCAACUGGUGCCAAGUGGUGCUGGUGAAGCACUGCACAAAUCUAUAAUUUACUAGCUGUGCCUAGCCAUGUGUUGCUGUGGCUUAUGGGAAUCAUUUGUUGGCCAGGUAGCCUGAGGAUUUUCUAUCUAGGGGAAAUCUUGGUUGGCCAAGUUGAACAGCACUGAAUAGCCUUGCUCCUUGCAAGCCUGGCUGUUUUCUACCUGUGGAAUUCUUGGUUGACCAGGUUGAAUGGCAAUUAAUAGUCUCGGUAUGGCAAGUAUGAACGCUGCAAUUAGUCACCUUGAUUAGCAUUUAAUGGCCUUGCAGCUUCAAAGCCUGGCUGCUUCCUGCCUGGAGGAAUUCUUUGUUGGGUGGUGUUAGCUGGUCCUGAUUGUUUCCUGUCUGGAAUUCCUGUUUUCAGAGUGUUGUUCUUUAUUUACUGUCCCGAUUUUAGAGAUUAUAUUGUUCUGUUUUAUUAUAGCACAGUAAUUUUCAUAUAUUAUAUUUAUAUAUUAUAUUAUUUGCUUUGAACUAGAUUAUAUGAGGCCCCUUCUACACAACUCUAUAAAAUCCACACUGAAUUGGAUUAUAUAUCAGUGUGGACUCAAGAUAAUCCAGUUCAAAGCAGAUACUGUGGAUUAUCUGCUUUGGCAAUCUGGGUUAUAUAGCUGUGUGGAAGGGCCUUGAGUCUACACUGUCAUAUCAUCCAGUUCAAAUCAGAUAAUCUGCAUUUUAUAGGCAGUAUAGAAGAGGCCUAAGUGAGGCCUAACUCUGCCUGUCCCAAGGCCAUUGUGGCUGAGUGGGUUGCUAGAAGACGAAGUGGGCAGGGCCCAAAGGACCUACCUAUCUCCGUGAUCGCCUCCUCCCCUACAAACCCUUCUGAUAGCAGCCAGGGGGGAAAAAAACAGCUCUUCCUCGUCCUCUAAUUUGGACUUCAUUUUUCUAGGGUUUUUUUGUUUGAAAGACAAAGUGAAGGAGCACUGUAGUUCCAAAGAAUUGAGGAUGUCUGCUUCAAUAAUAUUCAAGUCCCUUAAAGUAAGUUCUCCAGUGCCUUCCAAUAUAAAUUACUCAAUGUUAGCUUUACAGGAGGAGCACUAGGAUCUAACUCUAAGUCCACAAACCCAGCCACAUUUCUUGCAUUUAAGAUUUCAACAGGUAUCAACAGGCCCGGGCUGUGGCGCAGGCAGGGGAGCAAGCCAGUGCAAUUAACUGCAAUGAAUCACUCUGACCAGGAGGUCAUGAGUUCGAGCCCCGCUCGGAGCCUAUGUUUGUUUGUCUUUGUUCUAUGUUAAAAGGCAUUGAAUGUUUGCCUAUAUGUGUAAUGUGAUCCACCCUGAGUCCCUUUCGGGGUGAGAAGGGCGGAAUAUAAAUGCUGUAAAUAAAUAAAUAAAUAUUGUCUACUUAGUUUCGCAGAUACCUUUAAAGUACAUGGAUUAGUGAUUUCAUAUCUCACUAUAACAUUUACAUACCAUCUUUCUGACUCAAUAAUAUAUUUGCACUAUUUGGAGGAAAUAAAGUAAUUAAAAGCU
This is a long non-coding RNA of Anolis carolinensis (green anole), 8676 nucleotides long. RefSeq lists it as uncharacterized. NCBI's taxonomy places the organism in Eukaryota, Metazoa, Chordata, Lepidosauria, Squamata, Anolidae. The record is from RefSeq and is a predicted model, not a curated record. The transcript is spliced from 2 exons.